AUGGACUCAUUAUCAGUCACUUAAUGGGAGGCUAUGACUUAGUUAUCAAUAUAACUUAAUCAUUUUUAGGGACCUAAUAAUUUUUGAGGAUUUUAUUAAAAGAUAAAUGAGAAGAAAAAAUUCAGCCAAUUUCAAUCCUCCCACUAACUUCAUCAAGUCAGAUUAAAAAGGAUUUAAUUAAAGCUGGCAUUAGGAGCACCUAAAUCAGUCAAACUGAUUUACCUAAUGACAUGGGUGAGCCCUAAUCACCAAGUGAUCUAAUCAAAACCUAAUUCACCAGGUUGGCCAGGUAAGUGAGAUCAGUGGUGGGGAUAAGCCAUUAACUCGUCAGAGAUCAAAUCACUGCGAGUAGCUCUC
This 357-nucleotide long non-coding RNA is filed under the name Elaeis guineensis (African oil palm). RNAcentral describes it as "long non-coding RNA (EGUI_LNC079242)". Lineage: Eukaryota; Viridiplantae; Streptophyta; Magnoliopsida; Arecales; Arecaceae. The record is from RNAcentral.